UACGUAGGUGGCAAGCGUUGUCCGGAAUUAUUGGGCGUAAAGCGCGCGCAGGCGGCCUUUUAAGUCUGAUGUGAAAGCCCACGGCUCAACCGUGGAAGGUCAUUGGGAACUGGAAGGCUUGAGUACAGAAGAGGAAAGCGGAAUUCCACGUGUAGCGGUGAAAUGCGUAGAGAUGUGGAGGAACACCAGUGGCGAAGGCGGCUUUCUGGUCUGUAACUGACGCUGAGGCGCGAAAGCGUGGGGAGCAAACAGG
This 253-nucleotide ribosomal RNA is filed under the name uncultured bacterium. RNAcentral's name for it is "partial 16S ribosomal RNA". It matches the Rfam family "Bacterial small subunit ribosomal RNA", at positions 524 to 776 of the family's 1533-position model. The record is from RNAcentral.